This 493-nucleotide ribosomal RNA is filed under the name uncultured bacterium. Its description in RNAcentral is "partial 16S ribosomal RNA". It matches the Rfam family "Bacterial small subunit ribosomal RNA", at positions 28 to 523 of the family's 1533-position model. The record is from RNAcentral.
GAUGAACGCUGGCGGCGUGCCUAACACAUGCAAGUCGAACGAAGCGCCUUUUGAGAUUCUUCGGAUGAUUGAUCGGCGACUGAGUGGCGGACGGGUGAGUAACGCGUGGGCAGCCUGCACGGUACAGGGGGAUAACAGUUGGAAACGGCGGCUAAUACCGCAAAAGGGGAGGACGGGACAUCCCCUUGUGUUAAAAAGUCCGGUGGUACAGGAUGGGCCCGCGUCUGAUUAGCUGGUUGGCAGGGUAACGGCCUACCAAGGCGACGAUCAGUAGCCGGUCUGAGAGGAUGAACGGCCACAUUGGAACUGAGACACGGUCCAAACUCCUACGGGAGGCAGCAGUGGGGAAUAUUGCAAAAUGGGGGAAACCCUGAUGCAGCAACGCCGCGUGAGUGAAGAAGUAUUUCGGUAUGUAAAGCUCUAUCAGCAGGGAAGAUAAUGACGGUACCUGACUAAGAAGCUCCGGCUAAAUACGUGCCAGCAGCCGCGGUAA